CAUAAUCUUCUUUUUCCUCUCUCUCAUCUGAUCAAGGACAAAGGAGAUGUCCUCGGUUCUACAUCCACACAGUCGGCAUUUCCUGGGAUCAGUGGGCCAAUAUCAGGUUUGGCACCAAAUCAAGGAUGUGUGGCAGAGCUAGAGCACAAUGUGCCUUCUCCCCUAUCACCAAGUGUCUCAGCUCAGUGCCAUGAUCCAGGUGUGGACCAGGAACUAUAUCUCCAUCCUAGAUCUGGAUAUCCAUUAAAUCCAACAAAUGCUGGUCUGAAGAUACACCUACCUGGCAGGAGCCAAGACUCUAUUCCAUCACUAGGAGGAGCUCCAGAUGAACUCUCCUCAUGUUUACACCAGCCAGCAGGAGUCACUGUGGAAUCCUCUGGACCAUAUCAUUUCUCGGGUCACCAGAAGAACUUUUUGGAGUAUCAUCAGAAAACUGCUCGGAUCCGAUCUGCCUCUGAGAGCUCCACUAUAUCCAUAACUGAGGAUACCCCACAAUCCCCAAAAGAAGAUAUAGGAGAAGGAGUCACAUCGGAGAAGCCAGCAUUGGAAGAGGCAGAGCAAGAUGAAGCCAAGGAAUCUGGUUUUGGCUGGUUCAGUUGGUUCCGAUCCAAGCCAAAUAAGGAUGCCGAACCUUCUAAGAAAGUACCAGCUUCCCUGUUAAACUCUACUGUUCCUGUUUCCCAGGAGAAAGGAACUCCACCACCUUCCCUUCCUCCUACAGACGAGAUGCGCUCUUCAUCUUUUCCUCCUCGUUUUCCUCCUCUACCUCACACAGAUGGAAACCCUUUUUCCAAAGGCUCUUUGGGUAAAUAUAACUUUAUAUGUCUCUGAGUCAAUUACAAAAAUAUAGUCAACAUGGUUGUGACCAGAAGCACUUUGCAUGCAAGGGUUUUUGUCUAUUUUAAUUCUUGUUGUUAAAAUUUUAUUCAUUUAGAGCCCACUUUUCCACCCAGAACUUGCAAUGCCCUGUUUUCUGUGGCUCCUAGCACCCUACACAACUCACCCAAUGUAGCAGCUUCAUGAGACUG
RNAcentral lists this long non-coding RNA (1028 nucleotides) under Anolis carolinensis (green anole). RNAcentral's name for it is "lncRNA (ENSACAG00000040349.1)". Lineage: Eukaryota; Metazoa; Chordata; Lepidosauria; Squamata; Anolidae. The record is from RNAcentral.